GCAGUUAAAAAGCUCGUAGUUGGAUUUCUGCGGGGGCGGGGCGGCCGACCUCAACUCGAGGUUCGAGCUAGCACUUCCCCUGCAUCCUGCCGCGAACCGUGCUACCAUUAGUUUGGUGGCGCUGGGGAUCGGCUCGUUUACUUUGUGAAAAAUAGAGUGUUCAAAGCAGGCCACACGCCUUGAAUAAGUUAGCAUGGAAUAAUGAUAAAGGACUUCGGUUCUAUUUUGUUGGUGUUCGGGACUGAAGUAAUGAUUGAUAGGGACAGUUGGGGCGGUCAGUAUUCCAAAGCGAGAGGUGAAAUUCUUAGACCUUCGGAAGACUAACAGCUGCGAAAGCGUUCCG
This 343-nucleotide ribosomal RNA is filed under the name uncultured marine eukaryote. Its description in RNAcentral is "bacterial SSU rRNA". It matches the Rfam family "Eukaryotic small subunit ribosomal RNA", at positions 615 to 958 of the family's 1831-position model. The record is from RNAcentral.